Long non-coding RNA from Haliotis rubra (blacklip abalone), 495 nucleotides. RefSeq lists it as uncharacterized. NCBI's taxonomy places the organism in Eukaryota, Metazoa, Mollusca, Gastropoda, Lepetellida, Haliotidae. The transcript is spliced from 5 exons. The record is from RefSeq and is a predicted model, not a curated record.
AGCAUCCAAAAACAACUGCUAUCCCUCACAAAACUUCACACGCUGCCACGGCAGUUCCCGUGUCCAUGACAACCCCAAGUCUGGACCAAAUUUUUGCGAUGAGCUUCUACAGAAAUGACGUCAACCAUGAUGGAAUUUUGACGCUGUUGGACUUUGAAAAGCUGUGGAUUGAACAAGAUGUGAACGGGGAUCAGCGGGUUACCAUCACAGAGUACGCGGCUGUGACGCAUUUAUCCAAGUUCAUCACCACGGAACUGUUCCAGUUCAUUGAUCAUGACCACAACGGAGCCAUCACACUACAAGAGGUGCCACGGCUGUUCAUGGAAUACGAUUCCAACUCUGAUGGUGUCAUAAACGAGGGGGGAAUUUAUAGCUGAAUUCCGUAGGAUUUACAACUUUGUGAAGGACCAUGCAAAAUAGCCACAACGUGCAUGCAAUCUCCAGAAAGAAGACAAUUCUACAAACAAUUUCAAAUAAAAUGUGUUUUGUAGAUCA